Mustela lutreola (European mink) is the source of this 1354-nucleotide long non-coding RNA. RefSeq lists it as uncharacterized. The transcript has 3 exons. The record is from RefSeq and is a predicted model, not a curated record. NCBI's taxonomy places the organism in Eukaryota, Metazoa, Chordata, Mammalia, Carnivora, Mustelidae.
GGCUCAGGCGGCCGCACACCUGUGGAAGAGGAAUGAAUAGAGGGGGUGUGUGAACCUUCCCGCUGUAGACUAGCUGGCGCCACCGACCAAACUCAAGACAUGCUUGAUCAACAACCCAAAACAAACCACCAGGUCAGACAACACCCGCAGCCCGAGGCUGGCCAGGCGACCUGCAGGCAGCUGCUGGCCCCCGGGAAGCCCGGACUGGGGAUCCACUCUCAGGCCCUACCCGCACUCCACUUUGUGGGUGUCAGACGGCGGGGGGGGGGGUGUGGGUUGCAGGUUGGCACAUCGGGUUGCAGUUUCCACGCCCACGAGGGUGCCCUCCCUCGGCGGGGAGAAAGGCUGUUAGAGCCGACUGGUCAUAGACGAGGCACGAGGGUGGCGUGGCGGGGACAACGGGGACAGGAGCUGGUGACACGUCUCCAUUUAGAGUAAACCCCCAAUUACUAAAAGCGAAGUACGGUGGCACGGAGAGGGGGUGUCCACCUCAUUGGGGUCUGCCCUCAGAAAUGCUUAGGGGCACAGAAUACUGCGGUGCCUGGCACCGGAAGCCCCUGGGGACGGGCGUCUCCGGUGAUCCGCCGCGGGCAGAAGGGAAACGCGCGCUCACCUGGACAGCGCGGCUCAGCGGCACAGAAUGCUGUCGCCCUGCUUGUUCACCGCGCCGGCCUGGAACAGCAACGAAACACCAAUGCAAAGAUCAUUAAGAGAAAGAGAUACGAAUCUCACCUCUGCCCAGUCUACUCUCUGCAAGGAAGCUCUCUCCCUCCCUGCCCAGCACUGACAUACCUGCACUGCACGAGGCCGGAAGCAGAGUGUCUAUGUAGUUGGAAAGGAUUUGCAACAACUCACCUCAUAUACAACAGCACAUCAUUGGACUCAUCUUCUAAUUAAAACAGGGAAAUAAAUAGCCAGUUUCCCUAUAAACCACGUCACAUGGAGUUCACAAUUUAGGGCAGUGUAUGCAUUCACUCUUUCAUCUCUUCAAAUACCAAAGGUGCUUAAAACUGAGGAGGCUUGAAUCCAUUGUAUUGUCAUUCAUUCAAUAUCUACCAAUUUGUAUUAGGUCCUUCUACUUCUUCUGGAGACUUAAAUCUUUACAGUCAUGAUAUGUAUUGUAUUCUGAUCAGUAAGUUCUAGAGAAUUAUACUCUACAAAUACAGGUUACUCUAAGGGUGUGGUAAGAUCAAUCUCUCUUUCACUAUCUUAAAAACCCCUGGCAAAAGUGAUGGCAUUGAUUUGGCUCUGGUCAUGAUCCCAGAGUCCUGGGAUGGUGACCCACACUGGGCUCCCUGCUGAGCAGGGAGCCUGCUUCUCCCUCUACCUCUGCCUGCUCUUCCCUCUGCUUGUG